Molecule: small nucleolar RNA, 130 nt
Filed under: Pavo cristatus (Indian peafowl)
Lineage: Eukaryota; Metazoa; Chordata; Aves; Galliformes; Phasianidae
Description: Small nucleolar RNA SNORA57 (ENSPSTG00000015550.1)
Rfam family: Small nucleolar RNA SNORA57
About the family: U99 belongs to the H/ACA class of snoRNAs which are thought to guide the sites of modification of uridines to pseudouridines, the target for this family is unknown.
Source: Rfam by way of RNAcentral
CCUCCGGUUCUUGGCAGGCCCGGCGCGCCGUGCCCGGCUCUGUAUGGGCGGAGGUAGAGCAGCGACCGGCGCGGCGUCUUCGGUACCCGCGGCGCUCCGCGGGGUUCUGCCCUCCCGAGCCGGGACAAGC